CCCUUAGAUGUUCUGGGCCGCACGCGCGCUACACUGAUGCAUUCAACGAGUCUAAAACCUGCUCUGAUAGGGGUGGGUAAUCUUUUGAAUGUGCAUCGUGAUUGGGAUAGAUGAUUGAUAUUUUUCAUCUUCAACGAGGAAUGCCUAGUAAACGCAAGUCAUCAGCUUGCAUUGAUUACGUCCCUGCCCUUUGUACACACCGCCCGUCGCUCCUACCGAUUGAAUGAUCCGAUGAAUAUCAUGGAUUGAGGAUGCAAGUAGGUUCACCUAUCUUCAUCUUCGAGAAGUGAAGUAAAUCUUAUCAUUUAGAGGAAGGAGAAGUCGUAACA
RNAcentral lists this ribosomal RNA (329 nucleotides) under uncultured eukaryote. Its description in RNAcentral is "partial 18S ribosomal RNA". It matches the Rfam family "Eukaryotic small subunit ribosomal RNA", at positions 1470 to 1796 of the family's 1831-position model. The record is from RNAcentral.